Molecule: transfer RNA, 83 nt
Filed under: Anthropoides paradiseus (blue crane)
Lineage: Eukaryota; Metazoa; Chordata; Aves; Gruiformes; Gruidae
Description: tRNA-Ser
Rfam family: tRNA (bases 1-71)
About the family: Transfer RNA (tRNA) molecules are approximately 80 nucleotides in length.
Source: RNAcentral
AAGAAAGUGACAGAGUGGUUAUGUAACUGGCUUGAAACUAGUUUAUGGGGGUUCGAUUCCUUCCUUUCUCGUUAGUUUGUCUG